GCCCGGAUGGCGAAACUGGUAGACGCAAGGGACUUAAAAUCCCUCGGGCCUCGCCCGUGCCGGUUCGAGUCCGGCUCCGGGCACCA
This 86-nucleotide transfer RNA is filed under the name Burkholderiales bacterium. RNAcentral describes it as "tRNA-Leu". It matches the Rfam family "tRNA". From Rfam's summary of the family: Transfer RNA (tRNA) molecules are approximately 80 nucleotides in length. Their secondary structure includes four short double-helical elements and three loops (D, anti-codon, and T loops). Further hydrogen bonds mediate the characteristic L-shaped molecular structure. tRNAs have two regions of fundamental functional importance: the anti-codon, which is responsible for specific mRNA codon recognition, and the 3' end, to which the tRNAs corresponding amino acid is attached (by aminoacyl-tRNA synthetases). tRNAs cope with the degeneracy of the genetic code in two manners: having more than one tRNA (with a specific anti-codon) for a particular amino acid; and 'wobble' base-pairing, i.e. permitting non-standard base-pairing at the 3rd anti-codon position. The record is from RNAcentral. RNAcentral also lists the same sequence under 3 other names. Lineage: Bacteria; Pseudomonadati; Pseudomonadota; Betaproteobacteria; Burkholderiales.